UGUUAUGUUUAUUUGCCUCAUCGUUGUCUCUCCAUAUGUCGUCUUUCAACAUCAUUGAUGGUGGUGGGGCAAUUCUGUCUUUGCCUUCAACAACAAACAAAAUUGUGGCGGUGAGGGAUAUAGUUAUAAAAUCGAUCAAGGUUCUCUUUCAUGCCCUUUUGCUUUUGUUUGACUUCAGUCAAGUUAGUAAGAAAUUAGAUGUGUUUCUUUGUCACUUUUUUUUUUUUUUUUUUUUUUUACAUUUCUUGACAUUUGACUCCGACUUUCAGGGGUGUCUUGAAAACUUGAAAACUUGUGCUUGGCGUUUCCUAUCUCUCCCACUAUUGUUAGCAUUAUUAUAUUCCCCACAGCAUAUCUGGGAUAAUGUUUGGGAUUAGACAUGGAAUGCACCUUGCAGGCGGUGUGGGCAUACUAUCCUAAACAAAAGUUUAAAACUAGGAAAGAAAACCAAAGUAAUAAGGAAAAUUCCCCUGCCAUGUGUCAGGAUUGACAAAAAAUUGGCAAAAUGUAAAUGACAAUAGUAAGAAGAAAAGGGGAUGCUGAACUUUUGUUAGUUUUGGUAGUUAUCAUUGACUGAUACAUAGCUCCGGACCACCUGUAUAAACUUUUGCCCGCAACGAAGUUAUUCUUCAUCUGAUCUGCUGUCUUUGUUGGCUCGUGUUCCGGGGUUGACAGAUGUCCCGCUGCUGAUCCCCCGCAUUUUAUCAAUCGAAUUUCUUUUUCCUGAAUGAGUCGCACUCUAACUCCGUACAUAGAGCAUUCCCUCCAUGCUUUGCUGACUCCGCAAAACAACAAUCACAUCCACUAUUUACAGAUACGGUAUGAAGAAGCGAAUUUUGCGGGUUAGAAAAUAAAGUCAGAAAAACAAAAGAAAAUAUUUUCCAUCAACAUCCAUUCUGCCCACACCAAACCUCUUAGCUUGUUCACCCCCAACCCAACAAAAGAGACUUCUUUUUAAUUAGUUAACUAACUCACCCUUGGCUGCUGAGAUCAUCCGGGGGUAGCCAGGAUUGCGAAGAUUUUCCCCGCUUUUUGCGCAUGUUUCCACCUCCACCCACCUAACCCUAAUCUCAAUCUGCUGGUGGUCUGAAUCUGGAGAUCAUCAAAGUCUCCGCUUACAUACGGCAGAUUCUCAACUGGACAUUUCCAGUCUGCGGAAGAUUGCAGGUUCGAGUCCUGCGUCGGUCGAAUUUUUUUUAUUCUUUCAUUUCUACAGAUUCUUAGUAUCUUUAAAAUUCCCGCCGC
Molecule: small RNA, 1245 nt
Filed under: Histoplasma capsulatum var. duboisii H88
Lineage: Eukaryota; Fungi; Ascomycota; Eurotiomycetes; Onygenales; Ajellomycetaceae
Description: Histoplasma capsulatum H88 hypothetical RNA
Source: RNAcentral